RNAcentral lists this ribosomal RNA (498 nucleotides) under uncultured bacterium. Its description in RNAcentral is "partial 16S ribosomal RNA". It matches the Rfam family "Bacterial small subunit ribosomal RNA", at positions 29 to 523 of the family's 1533-position model. The record is from RNAcentral.
AUUGAACGCUGGCGGAAUGCUUUACACAUGCAAGUCGAACGGUAACAGGCCGCAAGGUGCUGACGAGUGGCGAACGGGUGAGUAAUGCAUCGGAACGUGCCCAGUCGUGGGGGAUAACGCAGCGAAAGUUGCGCUAAUACCGCAUACGAUCUAUGGAUGAAAGCGGGGGACCGUAAGGCCUCGCGCGAUUGGAGCGGCCGAUGUCAGAUCAGGUAGUUGGUGGGGUAAAGGCUCACCAAGCCGCCGAUCUGUAGCUGGUCUGAGAGGAAGACCAGCCACACUGGGACUGGGACACAGCCCAGACUCCUACGGGAGGCAGCAGUGGGGAAUUUUGGACAAUGGGCGCAAGCCUGAUCCAGCAAUGCCGCGUGCAGGAAGAAGGCCUUCGGGUUGUAAACUGCUUUUGUACGGAACGAAACGGUCCUGGUUAAUACCCGGGGCUAAUGACGGUACCGUAAGAAUAAGCACCGGCUAACUACGUGCCAGCCGCCGCGGUAA